Perognathus longimembris pacificus (Pacific pocket mouse) is the source of this 148-nucleotide long non-coding RNA. RefSeq lists it as uncharacterized. The record is from RefSeq and is a predicted model, not a curated record. Lineage: Eukaryota; Metazoa; Chordata; Mammalia; Rodentia; Heteromyidae. The transcript is spliced from 3 exons.
GUGGCGGUCUCAGCCCGGGGCGUGGCCUGCGUGUUCCCAGCCCCCUGAGCACUAGGUGUUCAGCAGUUGAAUGGUUGGCACUGCGGGGACAUGUCUCAGCCUUUGAGUCAAUGACGACUGUGGCGAGGAAGGGAAGCAGCUUUCUGCC